UGCAGUCGACGGUACAGGAGCAGCUUGCUGCUUCGCUGACGAGUGGCGGACGGGUGAGUAUGUCUGGGAACUGCCUGAUGGAGGGGGAUAACUACUGGAACGGUAGCUAAUACCGCAUAACGUCGCAAGACCAAAGAGGGGGACCUUCGGGCCUCUUGCCAUCGGAUGUGCCCAGAUGGGAUUAGCUAGUAGGUGGGGUAACGGCUCACCUAGGCGACGAUCCCUAGCUGGUCUGAGAGGAUGACCAGCCACACUGGAACUGAGACACGGUCCAGACUCCUACGGGAGGCAGCAGUGGGGAAUAUUGCACAAUGGGCGCAAGCCUGAUGCAGCCAUGCCGCGUGUAUGAAGAAGGCCUUCGGGUUGUAAAGUACUUUCAGCGGGGAGGAAGGGAGUAAAGUUAAUACCUUUGCUCAUUGACGUUACCCGCAGAAG
This 435-nucleotide ribosomal RNA is filed under the name Escherichia coli. RNAcentral describes it as "bacterial SSU rRNA". It matches the Rfam family "Bacterial small subunit ribosomal RNA", at positions 56 to 487 of the family's 1533-position model. The record is from RNAcentral. Lineage: Bacteria; Pseudomonadati; Pseudomonadota; Gammaproteobacteria; Enterobacterales; Enterobacteriaceae.